AGCAGCCGCGGUAAUUCCAGCUCCAAUAGCGUAUAUUAAAGUUGUUGCAGUUAAAAAGCUCGUAGUUGAAUUUCAGGCCUGGCUGGGCGGUCCGCCUUUUGGGUGAGUACUGCCUGUGGUCGGGUCCUACCUUCUGGCGAAGCGUCAUGGCCUUAACCGGCCGUGGCGGGGAACCAGGACUUUUACUGUGAAAAAAAUUAGAGUGUUCAAAGCAGGCAUUCGCUUGAAUACAUUAGCAUGGAAUAAUGGAAUAGGGCAGUGGUUCUAUUUGUUGGUUUCUAGGACCGUUGUAAUGAUUAAUAGGGAUAGUUGGGGGCAUUAGUAUUCAAUUGUCAGAGGUGAAAUUCUUGGAUUUAUUGAAGACUAACUACUGCGAAAGCACUUGCCAAGGAUGUUUUCAUUAAUCAAGAACGAAAGUUAGGGGAUCGAAGACGAUCAGAUACCGUCGUAGUCUUAACCAUAAACUAUGCCGACUAGGAAUCGGGCGAUGUUGACAAAAAUGACGCGCUCGGCA
This 514-nucleotide ribosomal RNA is filed under the name uncultured Paraglomus. RNAcentral describes it as "SSU rRNA". It matches the Rfam family "Eukaryotic small subunit ribosomal RNA", at positions 569 to 1085 of the family's 1831-position model. The record is from RNAcentral. Lineage: Eukaryota; Fungi; Glomeromycota; Glomeromycetes; Paraglomerales; Paraglomeraceae.